Long non-coding RNA from Corvus hawaiiensis (hawaiian crow), 1910 nucleotides. RefSeq lists it as uncharacterized. The record is from RefSeq and is a predicted model, not a curated record. Lineage: Eukaryota; Metazoa; Chordata; Aves; Passeriformes; Corvidae. The transcript is spliced from 2 exons.
AACCUGGAAAAUAAAUAUAUGAAAUGCAACGUAUGUAGAGGUCACAAUAUAGCAUAAGUAUAUCAACAUGAUGAACAGCUUUGAUGAAAAUGGUAAACAAAACCACCCUCUCUUCCUGUGGCUUGUUUUACAUUGCAAUAAACCACUGACUCUAUAACCUAUCAGAACAUGCUGAGAUUUUAUGCAUCAUUUCCAACUACUAUUUGAACAUUUGGUUUAGAGUAGUCAUGAACCAUAAUUAAUGGGAUUUUUUUGUGUGUGUGUCCUGAUAAAAAGCAAGCUUUAUUGUAUUUUAUUACCUGUUGGUCCAAAGCUCCAUAUAGAUGAUGUAAAUUCACUGUAGGUUUUAGGCUGGGGAAAAAGAGGAGGUGGGGGUUUUGCACAUGACUAUGAUGAAUUAACGUUUACAUUUCUAAUCAAACCCAGAGGUUUAGCUUGAGAUGCCCAGUCCAAAUUUUCUUUGCUCUUGUGAGUGAGUUGGUAGCGAUGGGACACAGAGAUUUUGGCCCAGCUCAGCCUACCAGGAGGAAAGGGGAAAAAAUCCCCAACAACCCAGGCACCACAAAGACCAUGGAGAUGAAUGGCUCUAUUUUAUGAGCCAUAAAAGUUUUAUUCAUCUUGACACCGAAACAGGUUUAGGCAGCGAGUUGACACGCCUUAAAUAAAUAAGUGGAAUUAAUUCUCCAGCUCUUGAAACAAUAGCAGCAUGCCCAUAACGCUGAGAGCUGCCCCGUUGUUUCCCGUUGCUGCUCGAUAUUGAUAUUAUUUGUGGGUUGUUUUUUUUUUCCUCUGGGGCCUGGUUUCUCCACUUCAGAUUCUUCCCCUGUUUUAUUAGAGGUUGAAAAAGGUUCAAGACCUGGUUGUACCACUGCUCCCACCGACAGCUAAAGAACCAGUUUGGCGUCUGGUUUGUCUGUUGUUUUACUGCUGACCUUCAAAUCAACUUUCCCCUCUGACCCCAGGAGGCAUCUAUCAUGACAAGAGGCUGUUUAACACAAAUGGUGCCCAUUUAUAGGGGAAGAGAGUCAGAAGAUUUCCUUGGUUGUUGGUUUUUUUUGUUUUCUUUUUUUUUUUAAUGAAGAAUUUGGUUUUUUCACCCCUCUUUUCUCAGUCACCACAGGUGAAAUCCCUCCUAGCAGCUGGCUUAUGAAAUAAUGCAAGGGGAGGCCUUAAUGAGCUGAAAGCACCCUCAGCUGGAGAUAAAUAUAUGCAAAUGAGAUGCACAAACAAAGGAGCCCGGACAGAGAAAUAUCUGCAAUUCCAGCAAAAUGCUGCCUGCAGCUAGAAGAUGAACAGCUUUGAUAAAAUGUUUUGCAGCAGGAUGAGAAACCAGGGAGAAAAGUAUUCCUGUUGCUGAAGGGGCUUUCCCUUUUCCUGUGGCUGCAAAAACUCACCGGCUGCUGUUAAUACAAAACUAAUGGCAAGAGCGCGAUCCGGAGAGCCAGCCUGCUAUCAGCUGCAUUUCAAUGGAGGCUUUCUCGAAAAAUAGGUACAAAGAAAAGAAUUUAGACAAAUUUGCCUCUUAACCUUUAAAGAUUUCCUGCCUAUUCCAGUAUGUCCUUUAUUACAUUAAUUUUUUAUUUAAAUUACACCAUUAACUGGAUAUGAAUUUAUCAAGAAUACAUAUAUUGAUUUAUAAAACAGUAUCAUUAAUUAUUAUAAUAGCUAGAUGUAGCUGAUAUUACAAAGCCAUUUAAAGGUUUUUAAUAUAACUUGGACAUACAUAGAUAGAUAGACAUUAUGGACAAGACUACAAUUUAAACUGGCUACCAGCAGUUAAUGAAAUCCUUGAUUUAUCUUCUCAUUUAGAGAUUGAUUAUAUUGUUGCUUUGUAAAACUAUUUAUUUUAUGCCAUUUUUCAAAGGAUGUCUCAAUAAAAGAAAAAGAUAAAUAAAACAUCCAGCCUAGUC